Molecule: ribosomal RNA, 385 nt
Filed under: Aulacoseira crenulata
Lineage: Eukaryota; Bacillariophyta; Melosirophyceae; Melosirales; Aulacoseiraceae
Also listed under: 1 other name
Description: SSU rRNA
Rfam family: Eukaryotic small subunit ribosomal RNA
Source: RNAcentral
CCAGCUCCAAUAGCGUAUAUUAAAGUUGUUGCAGUUAAAAAGCUCGUAGUUGAAUUUUUGGUGGAGCCAACCUGUCCUUCACUUGGUGUUGGCACUUGGUUGGUUCUCUGCCCUCCUUGGCUGGAGCCAGCAUGGCAUUUGGUUGUCGUGUUGGGGACGGUCAUCUUUUACUGUGAAGAAAUUAGAGUGUUCAAAGCAGGCUUAGGCCUUGAAUACAUUAGCAUGGAAUAAUGAAAUAGGGUUUUGGCACUAUUUUGUUGGUUUGCGCGCCGAAACAAUGAUUAAUAGGGACAGUUGGGGGUAUUCGUAUUCAAUUGUCAGAGGUGAAAUUCUUGGAUUUCUGGAAGACGAACAACUGCGAAAGCAUUUACCAAGGAUGUUUUCA